UGGGGAAUCUUGCGCAAUGGGCGAAAGCCUGACGCAGCGACGCCGCGUGGGUGAUGAAGGCCUUCGGGUCGUAAAGCCCUUUCGACCGGGAAGAACGACCCCGCGGUGAACAGCCGUGGGGAGUGACGGUACCGGAAGAAGAAGCACCGGCUAACUCUGUGCCAGCAGCCGCGGUAAUACGGAGGGUGCAAGCGUUAAUCGGAAUUACUGGGCGUAAAGGGUGCGUAGGCGGCCGCUUAAGUCCUGUGUGAAAGGCCCCGGCUUAACCGGGGAGGGUCAUGGGAAACUGGGCGGCUUGAGUGCCGGAGAGGGUGGCGGAAUUCCCGGUGUAGCGGUGAAAUGCGUAGAGAUCGGGAGGAACACCAGUGGCGAAGGCGGCCACCUGGACGGUAACUGACGCUGAGGCACGACAGCUGGGGGAGCAAACAGGAUUAGAUACC
This 440-nucleotide ribosomal RNA is filed under the name uncultured bacterium. RNAcentral describes it as "bacterial SSU rRNA". It matches the Rfam family "Bacterial small subunit ribosomal RNA", at positions 355 to 786 of the family's 1533-position model. The record is from RNAcentral.